This 253-nucleotide ribosomal RNA is filed under the name uncultured bacterium. Its description in RNAcentral is "partial 16S ribosomal RNA". It matches the Rfam family "Bacterial small subunit ribosomal RNA", at positions 524 to 776 of the family's 1533-position model. The record is from RNAcentral.
GACAGAGGAGGCAAUCGUUUUUCGGAAUCAUUGGGCUUAAAGCGCGCGUAGGCGGCCUUGUAAGUGUCUUGUGAAAUCCCACGGCUCACCCGUGGAACUGCAGGGCAAACUGCAAGACUUGAGGUCGGUAGAGGCGCCUGGAACUCUAGGUGGAGCGGUGAAAUGCGUAGAUAUCUAGGGGAACGCCGGAGGCGAAAGCGGGGCGCUGGGCCGAUUCUGACGCUGAUGCGCGAAAGCGUGGGGAGAAAACAGG